This 420-nucleotide small RNA is filed under the name secondary endosymbiont of Heteropsylla cubana. RNAcentral describes it as "cspA thermoregulator". It matches the Rfam family "cspA thermoregulator". Lineage: Bacteria; Pseudomonadati; Pseudomonadota; Gammaproteobacteria; Enterobacterales; Enterobacteriaceae. The record is from Rfam by way of RNAcentral.
GGUAAACUGAGGUACAGUUGUGCAUAUGAAUGGCAUUUUCAGUAAAGAGGUUUUGCGCACCGAUAAAUUCGUUGCAUACCACUUCUCUGCCGAUCCUUAUUCUUGAGUGCCUCAAGCAGUAACGAUUUCAGUUUGUCUCUAUAUCGCCAAAAGGCGAUUUAAACAGUCCUAAGGAAAUAUGCAAGAUGGCAAAGAUUAAAGGUCAAGUGAAGUGGUUUAAUGAAUCUAAAGGUUUUGGUUUUAUCACUCCGGCCGAUGGUAGUAAAGACGUGUUUGUUCAUUUCUCCGCUAUUCAGGGUAACGGUUUUAAAACACUAGCCGAAGGUCAGAAUGUUGAAUUUGAAAUACAAGAUGGACAAAAAGGUCCUUCAGCAGUUAAUGUGACUACUUUAUAGUUCAAAUUAAUGAAGUAAUAUUUCU